Molecule: long non-coding RNA, 296 nt
Filed under: Gossypium raimondii (Peruvian cotton)
Lineage: Eukaryota; Viridiplantae; Streptophyta; Magnoliopsida; Malvales; Malvaceae
Description: long non-coding RNA (GRAI_LNC003723)
Source: RNAcentral
UUUUUUUAAAACUACUUGAGAGUUUUCUUUAUAAAACAUUUCUUUUCACGUUUUGUUAUUCCAAGAUUCUAACAUUACUUUCUUCUUCUUUUUUGUUUUUCUUUUACUUUUAUUUCCUUUUGUUAAUUUUUCUACUGUUCUGUCGAGAGAAUUGCAUAUUUCGUUGUUUUCGACUGAAAGGUUAACUGCGUAAGUUUUGUUAAUGUUCCUCGCGUUUGUUAUUUGUCAAAAUUGAAAUUUUUUUGCUUGUUUUGUCCAAUUUUUCUUUUUAAGGGUUCAAUUUGUUCUUUUUUUCA